This 145-nucleotide microRNA precursor is filed under the name Oryza sativa (Asian cultivated rice). Its description in RNAcentral is "miR166i stem-loop (osa-MIR166i)". Its record names the gene osa-MIR166i. It matches the Rfam family "mir-166 microRNA precursor family". From Rfam's summary of the family: This family represents the plant microRNA (miRNA) precursor mir-166. Animal miRNAs are transcribed as ~70nt precursors and subsequently processed by the Dicer enzyme to give a ~22nt product. In plants the precursor sequences may be longer, and the carpel factory (caf) enzyme appears to be involved in processing. RNAcentral also lists the same sequence under 2 other names. The record is from miRBase by way of RNAcentral. Lineage: Eukaryota; Viridiplantae; Streptophyta; Magnoliopsida; Poales; Poaceae.
AGAUAGGUGUUUGGAAUGCAGUUUGAUCCAAGAUCUGCCUAUAUAUAUGGUGUGUAUAUCAUAUCUUGUGAUAUGGGGGAUAUGCAACAGGUGUGUGACAGGGGUAGGUAGAUCUCGGAUCAGGCUUCAUUCCUCACACCAAUAC